Gasterosteus aculeatus aculeatus (three-spined stickleback) is the source of this 1903-nucleotide long non-coding RNA. The record is from Ensembl. Lineage: Eukaryota; Metazoa; Chordata; Actinopteri; Perciformes; Gasterosteidae.
CUACAUAAGCCUUCAAGAUCACUAAGAUCUUCUGACACCAUCUGUUAGUGAUUCCCAGAGUAAAUACACAUCAUGGGAAAGCAUCAUUUAGUUACUACGCAACAAACAGCUGGAAUAAACUUCCUGAAGAUUUAAGACCCCAACUCUGACCACGUUUAAAACAAGACUGAAAACUUUUAUGUUCAGCUUCGCCUUCUGCUAAAUUUGACCUACAUUGCACUUUUAACCUCUGCCUUUAAUUAAACAAUUUAAAUAAGAUUUUAAUUUAUAAUUUUAUUUGCUUCUGCCUUGUGUAUGAAAAGCGCUAUACAAAUAAACUUGCCUUGCCUAGCCUUGCCUUGCCUAUCAAAAAUGUGUUCUAAUUACAUUGAAAUGUCGAGGAUUAAAACUUCUCUCCUGGUUUGUGAAACCUCUGGUCUUCUUUUCCAAGGUGAUAUUUUUAUUCAGCCGCAUCCUUCACAGCUACAGAUAAUGCAUUUCCUGGAGGGAAAUCAGUUUUCUGGGAUGAUGACAUUGCCUAUGAUAAGAUUCAGUCCACACUGGCUGCGCUAUCAAGGCAAUACUCUGACGCAGCUUCGGCCAAGAUGGGUUUCUCACCCAGUGGGACCACUGAGAGGGGCAUGGCACGGGUCGGGCAUUCAUUCACCCCCAAAUGGGUCAAUGAUGCUCAGCCAUUGAGCUAAGACGCACCGUCCUGGAGUGUCGAGCUGAACAUCACCCAGCGACGGCUUGUCAAGGUCAUGAAAAAGAGAACUGCUCUGGACGUGCGCCACCAGAGUGAGAAAAAAGCACCACGAGCGUCCACGAGCAACAGACCGAAGCCGUCUCCAUUAUGGCAGAGACGAAGGACAUUUAAGUUGUUUUUUCUCUCAAAGUGGCCCAGCUUCUAUUGUACAUGGUGAAGUACUGUGAAAUAUAAUGAGGAUAAAUCAGAGGAAAUUAUGUUCAUAACUGUAAAGGUACUACAAGGUCCUUAUGUCAUUUGAUUUAAACUUACAUUUUUCAUUGAGCUGAAGCUUUUAUCCGAAGCGACAAUAAGUGCAUUCAUCCAAGAGGGUGCGGACCGAUGCAAUUCAUUACAUCAAACAUUUCCAUCACUGAAAAAGAAAAUUUACAAUUUCUUAAAAGCCACACGGACAUAAUUGAGCACCACCAAAUGCAUCUCCUUUUGAAUAGAAUAAUCAUUUGUAUUAGAAAACCAGUUAGUAACUGCUUGGUUCAUUUUCAAAACGUCUCCUUUCUUAAAAUAUUUUAAAUUUGUUGAACUACUUCCAGACAUUAUCUUCAUUAUUGCAUUACCAGUCGAGCUCUGCGCUUUCAAGUUAAACAGACAAUCGUUACAGCAUGCGCACAAAGCGGUUUGUUGUGUGGUAUUAGUCUCCCAGUCUUCUGUCUUCUGUUCCCCAAGUGUCCCACAGUCUUCUGAAUUAUGUUCCCUGAGUGUCCCACACUCUUCUGUGUUAUUUUCCCUGAUCCUUCCACAGUCUUCUGAAUUAUGUUCCCUGAGUGUCCCACAGUCUUCUGAAUUAUGUUCCCUGAGUGUCCCACACUCUUCUGUGUUAUUUUCCCUGAUCCUUCCACAGUCUUCUGAAUUAUGUUCCCUGAGUGUCCCACAGUCUUCUGAAUUAUGUUCCCUGAGUGUCCCACACUCUUCUGUGUUAUUUUCCCUGAUCCUUCCACAGUCUUCUGAAUUAUGUUCCCUGAGUGUCCCACAGUCUUCUGAAUUAUGUUCCCUGAGUGUCCCACUCUUCUGUAUUAUUUUCCCUGAUCCUUCCACACCCUUCUGUAUUAUGUUCCCUGAGUGGCCCACAGUCUUCUGUAUUAUGUUCCCUGAUCCUUCCACACCCUUCUGUAUUAUGUUCCAUGAGUGUCCCACACUCUUCUGUAUUAUGUUCCCUGAUCC